Molecule: transfer RNA, 72 nt
Filed under: Candidatus Parcubacteria bacterium
Lineage: Bacteria; Candidatus Parcubacteria
Description: tRNA-Val
Rfam family: tRNA
About the family: Transfer RNA (tRNA) molecules are approximately 80 nucleotides in length. Their secondary structure includes four short double-helical elements and three loops (D, anti-codon, and T loops). Further hydrogen bonds mediate the characteristic L-shaped molecular structure. tRNAs have two regions of fundamental functional importance: the anti-codon, which is responsible for specific mRNA codon recognition, and the 3' end, to which the tRNAs corresponding amino acid is attached (by aminoacyl-tRNA synthetases). tRNAs cope with the degeneracy of the genetic code in two manners: having more than one tRNA (with a specific anti-codon) for a particular amino acid; and 'wobble' base-pairing, i.e. permitting non-standard base-pairing at the 3rd anti-codon position.
Source: RNAcentral
GGGCGGUUAGCUCAAUGGCAGAGCGCUCGCUUGACGUGCGAGAGGUUGUAGGUUCGAGUCCUACACCGCCCA